RNAcentral lists this transfer RNA (80 nucleotides) under Bacteroides ovatus. RNAcentral's name for it is "tRNA-Ser". It matches the Rfam family "tRNA", at positions 9 to 71 of the family's 71-position model. Rfam says of the family: Transfer RNA (tRNA) molecules are approximately 80 nucleotides in length. Their secondary structure includes four short double-helical elements and three loops (D, anti-codon, and T loops). Lineage: Bacteria; Pseudomonadati; Bacteroidota; Bacteroidia; Bacteroidales; Bacteroidaceae. The record is from RNAcentral.
GCUCGAGUGGUUGAAGAGGCACGCCUGGAAAGCGUGUAUACGCCAAAAGCGUAUCCGGGGUUCGAAUCCCCGUCUCUCCG